RNAcentral lists this ribosomal RNA (460 nucleotides) under uncultured bacterium. RNAcentral describes it as "partial 16S ribosomal RNA". It matches the Rfam family "Bacterial small subunit ribosomal RNA", at positions 338 to 795 of the family's 1533-position model. The record is from RNAcentral.
CCUACGGGAGGCAGCAGUGAGGAAUAUUGGUCAAUGGACGAGAGUCUGAACCAGCCAAGUAGCGUGAAGGAUGACUGCCCUAUGGGUUGUAAACUUCUUUUAUAUGGGAAUAAAAUGUUCCACGUGUGGGAUUUUGUAUGUACCAUAUGAAUAAGGAUCGGCUAACUCCGUGCCAGCAGCCGCGGUAAUACGGAGGAUCCGAGCGUUAUCCGGAUUUAUUGGGUUUAAAGGGAGCGUAGGUGGAUUGUUAAGUCAGUUGUGAAAGUUUGCGGCUCAACCGUAAAAUUGCAGUUGAGACUGGCAGUCUUGAGUACAGUAGAGGUGGGCGGAAUUCGUGGUGUAGCGGUGAAAUGCUUAGAUAUCACGAAGAACUCCGAUUGCGAAGGUAGCUCACUGGACUGCAACUGACACUGAGGCUCGAAAGUGUGGGUAGCAAACAGGAUUAGAUACCCCAGUAGUC